This is a long non-coding RNA of Macrobrachium nipponense, 1976 nucleotides long. RefSeq lists it as uncharacterized. NCBI's taxonomy places the organism in Eukaryota, Metazoa, Arthropoda, Malacostraca, Decapoda, Palaemonidae. The record is from RefSeq and is a predicted model, not a curated record. The transcript has 3 exons.
CUCUCUCUCUCUCUCUCUCUCUCUCUCUCUCUCUCGUAAAAGAUUCAGUGAUAACGUUUAACGUAAAAGAUUUUAUACAUAGUUGUUGGUCACUCAUAUAAAUAUCAAAUUUGAUAUUUCUUAAGAGUUGUUUAAUAUUAUUAGUGUUUAUUUGUGGUAUCUGAACAGACGUUGCAAAAGUGUGUAAUAUGCGCCUCGUGUGUAAGUGUUUAUUGGUGAUUUCGAAAAAGUCCUUCUAAAAUUGGUAUACCAAGGAUGGCUACUAGAGGUUGUACAAAUUCUCCGGAAUCAUUUCGCUAUGUGUGUGGUUAUUAUAUUGGAAAAAAACAGGUAUUACAUAAGAUCGUGAAAGGUGCCAAAUUGUGGAUAGCGUACAGACUAUUUCGGAAUGCCCUUGGGUGACUAGGACAAACCAUGGGCCCCUCAUGUGAUAUGUGGCAGCUGCCGAUCUACUCUAGAAGGAUGGUUAAGAGGUGGUGCAGGAAGGGCAAUGCCUUUUGCCGUUCCCAGAGUAUGUAGAGAGCCGAAGAACCAUCACGAUGAUUGUUACUUUUGUAUGAUUGAUGUGACAAAGUACAGAAAAGUGAAAGGAGACAAGCUCUUCAGUAUCCAGAUAUCCCAUCAUCUAGAGCACCUGUCCCACAUGAUGGCAUCUUACCAGAACCACAACCACCACAAAAUAUGGAAGGUGUAAUGGCUAUUUCAUCUGAAGAGUCAGUAAAUAGCAGCAGCCAAGAAAUGGAGGAAGCUUUUGUACCAAGAACGACUUCAGAGCCUCACUUUCCAAAUCAGAGUGAGGUAGAUGAUUUAAUCAGGGAUUUAAAUCUAACUAAGUUAGGAGCUGAACUUCUUUCAUCAAGGCUGAAGGAAUGGAAUCUACUAUGGGAAGACUGCAGGACAUCUGUGUGCCGGAAACGACAUGUGAAUUUGAAAUUUACUAUGACAUUAGUAAUGAUCUGUGUUACUGUAAAGAUGUGAUUGGAUUGUUUACUGCUAUUGGAGUCAAGCAUGAACCUUCAGAAUGGCGAAGUCUCAAAGCAGUGGUGCUCCAUAAUAGAAAUAAAUAUCCAUCUUUCCCUCUUGUACAGUCCGUGCAGAAGAAAGAAAACUAUGAUGAUGUCAAACAACUUCUUGACAAAAUAUAUUAUGCUGAAUUCAAGUGGGAUGUUUGUGGUGAUUUCAAGAUGCUUGCCUUCUUGCUUGGUUUGCAAAGGGGAUGGAUACACAAAGUAUUCAUGUUUCCUUUGCUUAUGGACAGCAGAGCUGAUGAUGAUCAUUACGAGAAAGUUGAUGCAGCCCGGAAUGUUAAAUGUUCUCAGACAGCCUCUAGUAGAUUCCAACAAAGUCUUAUUACCCCCACUUCAUAUUAAAUUAGGAUUGGUAAAGCAGUUUGUGAAGGCCUUAGGUACUGGAGGAGAAGCUUUUCAAGAAAGUCGUCUCAUGUUUCCAAAGUUACCUGAGGCUAAAAUCAAGGGUGGCAUAUUUGCUGGACCCCAAGUAAAUGCAAUGUUGAAGUCGGAGAAACUGGAAAGAGCGAUGACAAAGGUUGAAAAAGAAGCAUGGUGUGCAUUUCAUGAUGUAGUUCGUGGAAUCCUAGGAAAUCACAAGGAUCCUAAUUACAAACAAAUGGCAGCAAAACUUAUUGAGAACUUCAAGAAACUGGAUUGUCGUAUGUUCUUGAUUAAAGGUACAUUUUUUGCACUCUCACCUAGAUUUCUUCCCCGAAAACUUGGGUGAUGUCAGUGAGGAGCUUGGUGAGAGAUUUCAUCAGGACAUCGCAACAAUGGAAAGAAGAUAUCCAGGACAAUGGGAUACUGCUAUGAUGGGAGAUUACAUUGGGUCUCUAGUCGGAAAAGAUGAAAGUAUGCACUCUAGAAAAUUCGAUUGUCAAAGCACUGCUGAUCUUAAGAGAAGAGUUAUCAAAGCAUUUAAAGUGCAGAAUUGUAUUGUUUCAUUUUGUUCUAACUAAUAUUGUA